UCGAGGGGCAGCGGGGUAGUGCUUGCACUACUGCCGGCGACCGGCGCACGGGUGAGUAACACGUAUGGAACCUGCCCGCAGCAGGGGGAUAAGCGGAAGAAAUUCCGUCUAAUACCGCGUAACAACGUUGGGAGGCAUCUCCCGAUGUUUAAAGAUUUAUCGGCUGCGGAUGGCCAUGCGGCGCAUUAGCUAGUCGGCGGGGUAACGGCCCACCGAGGCGACGAUGCGUAGGGGUUCUGAGAGGAAGGUCCCCCACACUGGUACUGAGACACGGACCAGACUCCUACGGGAGGCAGCAGUGAGGAAUAUUGGUCAAUGGCCGAGAGGCUGAACCAGCCAAGUCGCGUGAGGGAAGACGGCCCUACGGGUUGUAAACCUCUUUUGUCGGGGAGCAAAGAGAGUCACGUGUGACUCAUUGAGAGUACCCGAAGAAAAAGCAUCGGCUAACUCCGUGCCAGCAGCCGCGGUAAUACGGAGGAUGCGAGCGUUAUCCGGAUUUAUUGGGUUUAAAGGGUGCGCAGGCGGAGGUGCAAGUCAGCGGUCAAAUUGCGGGGCUCAACCCCGUACUGCCGUUGAAACUGCAUCCCUUGAGUGCGCGAGAAGUAUGCGGAAUGCGUGGUGUAGCGGUGAAAUGCAUAGAUAUCACGCAGAACUCCGAUUGCGAAGGCAGCAUACCGGCGCGCAACUGACGCUCAUGCACGAAAGCGUGGGUAUCGAACAGGAUUAGAUACCCUGGUAGUCCACGCAGUAAACGAUGAA
Molecule: ribosomal RNA, 759 nt
Filed under: uncultured bacterium
Lineage: Bacteria
Description: bacterial SSU rRNA
Rfam family: Bacterial small subunit ribosomal RNA
Source: RNAcentral